This 373-nucleotide ribosomal RNA is filed under the name Salmonella enterica subsp. enterica serovar Bovismorbificans. RNAcentral's name for it is "partial 23S ribosomal RNA". It matches the Rfam family "Bacterial large subunit ribosomal RNA", at positions 148 to 559 of the family's 2925-position model. Lineage: Bacteria; Pseudomonadati; Pseudomonadota; Gammaproteobacteria; Enterobacterales; Enterobacteriaceae. The record is from RNAcentral. RNAcentral also lists the same sequence under 2 other names.
CUAUCAUUAACUGAAUCCAUAGGUUAAUGAGGCGAACCGGGGGAACUGAAACAUCUAAGUACCCCGAGGAAAAGAAAUCAACCGAGAUUCCCCCAGUAGCGGCGAGCGAACGGGGAGGAGCCCAGAGCCUGAAUCAGCAUGUGUGUUAGUGGAAGCGUCUGGAAAGGCGCGCGAUACAGGGUGACAGCCCCGUACACAAAAGCGCAUGUGCUGUGAGCUCGAUGAGUAGGGCGGGACACGUGGUAUCCUGUCUGAAUAUGGGGGGACCAUCCUCCAAGGCUAAAUACUCCUGACUGACCGAUAGUGAACCAGUACCGUGAGGGAAAGGCGAAAAGAACCCCGGCGAGGGGAGUGAAAAAGAACCUGAAACCGU